CACUCCUGUGUUUCUUGACCAAAACCCCCUGGCAUCACAACAUAGAAUGAAAAAUUUCAUCAACAAAUGCCUGGACCUGGAACCUGGGGUACACUACAACGACGAAUAUUUUGGUUCGAAAGAAGCCUAUGACGAAAAGGUGACUCCUUUCACUGAAGAAGAAUUGAAGAAUUUACCAGACAUGAGUAAAUACAAGUCGUGUAUUCCAUACAGUAUCGACCCCGUGAAACCCAUGAUGAGAUAAAUUACGACUGCAUAUCAAACCAUGCCUUCUCCUGAAAUAAACAUGGUACUGGAGUGAAUAAUAACCACAAUUUGUAUAACAAUAUAUAAUAACAAUAUUAUAUACAAUUGAUAUAAAACUAUAUAUCACCAUUAACAUUCACCACUGACAUACUAUUACGUUCGAUGAUUCUGGUAUUCCAAAUUACCGUGAAUUUAAUCACCGUACUAAUUUUCGAUCGAAAUGGCUAAUUAGUUUUAGAAGUUUGCCAUACACAAGUGAUGAGAGACAUAGUUUCGACAUAGUUUUAUAAGGUUCUCCGAAAAGAACUACCCAUAAUGACGUACGAUAACAACUUCUCCGGAAAUACUUCAUCUAUUUAUUUAGCUAAGAGCAUGAUAAGCAUUUUAUGUAAAUUAGUUGGCACAACGAUCAUGUCUUAAUAUAGCGUAGAUGCCAGGCUCUUUGAUUAGCCUGUGUACUCAGUGUAUAUCAAAUCAUGAUGUCUUUGCGUAACAGUGUUAACACCGUACAGGAUUAUUAUUAUAGAAAAAUUUUGAUAUCAAAUUAUUUUAUGUUAUAUUCUUCCUGCAUGUACUAGUACUGGUGAUAUCGUAGGAGAGAUCUCAAACAAAUUUACUUACGUUGUAUUACUGUGAUGUAGUGCGGGUUAUUAUAAUGCUUUCUACUAAUAGUCAAUUUAGAGGGUAAAUAAAUAAUAGAUAAAUGCAUUGAACAA
Saccoglossus kowalevskii is the source of this 962-nucleotide long non-coding RNA. The record is from RefSeq and is a predicted model, not a curated record. NCBI's taxonomy places the organism in Eukaryota, Metazoa, Hemichordata, Enteropneusta, Harrimaniidae.